CGUAGGGUGCGAGCGUUAAUCGGAAUUACUGGGCGUAAAGCGUGCGCAGGCGGUUUUGUAAGACAGGCGUGAAAUCCCCGAGCUCAACUUGGGAAUGGCGCUUGUGACUGCAAGGCUAGAGUAUGUCAGAGGGGGGUAGAAUUCCACGUGUAGCAGUGAAAUGCGUAGAGAUGUGGAGGAAUACCGAUGGCGAAGGCAGCCCCCUGGGACGUCACUGACGCUCAUGCACGAAAGCGUGGGGAGCAAACAGGAUU
This 254-nucleotide ribosomal RNA is filed under the name uncultured bacterium. RNAcentral describes it as "partial 16S ribosomal RNA". It matches the Rfam family "Bacterial small subunit ribosomal RNA", at positions 526 to 779 of the family's 1533-position model. The record is from RNAcentral.